GGACGGAGCUCAGAUUUUUUUUUUCCUUUUUCACAUUGAAGCUGGAUGGAAAAAUCCUAGAUUCUCACUUUUCCUUACCUUUCCUGUAAACCAACUGCCUCAUCCUUGAUCUUUGUACCUCUAUCAUUUUUCUUUAGGUUUUGUAAACAAGGAAAGGGAAAAGGAAAAAAUAAAAAAAACCACCAAAAGGAAGAAAUAAUUUCUGGAAUCAGAUGAGGCACUCAUUUAAUCAUUCAGCAACACUGAAUGAGGCCUGCUAUCCUGUUUACAUCUAUGCUGGAAGGCUCUACUUCCAGACCUUUGGAUCACAGGUGAAACAUCAUUUACCAGGAGAAGUCUUCCCUGACCACUGUUGCUGCUGCUGCUAAGUCGCUUCAGUCAUGUCCGACUCUGUGCGACCCCAUAGACGGCAGCCCACCAGGCUCCUCCGUCCAUAGGAUUUUCCAGGCAAGAGUACUGGAGUGGGGUGCCAUUGCCUUCUCCGUUCCCUGACCACAGGCGUGGUCAAGUUUAUGUCCCCCUGCUAUACGCUUUCUAGUACCCUUUAUUUUGGUUAGUGUUUGUCGUUCCAGGUCAGCUAUAAGCGCCACGAAGCCAGAGAUCAUAUCUAUUUUUACUUAUUAUUAUAUCUGUGGCACUUAGUAUAAUCCCCAGGUUAAGAACCGAUAAAUAUUCAUCAAAUGAAUGAAUAUCAAGAAUACAGCAUAAGAUACAAUUCUUAGACAGGGAGAAGCUGUCCCUCUAUGCUCUAAGUCAAAACAGCAGAACUGAGACCCCUGUUUCUUUGCCUGGACAGCGGUGUAAUUGAUCCAUCCCACUGUAAUGAACUGGAGGGCUGAUUAAGAGCUUAUGUAAAUGUCGAAACCUUUGGCAGCCCUUCAUUUCCCUCCGCUUUUGCCAUGACUCAAAGCACGGAAAUUUGUCAAAAGAGAAAGCUUUCAGAGAACACCCACACCCAACGGUGGAAACCUUAGAAGAGUGGAGCGCAGGGGAACGUCCCUCGGUGAAGGCUUAGGGGGUUCUGGACAGGUUUUCAAAGGCAUAUGGAGACAAGAUGUCAGUGUGAGCUUGUUUCUCUGACAAUCUGAAAUGCUUUUAACCAGCAAGUUUCCAAGAGGCUUUUAAGUGAAGAGGUUAACGUGGUAGGUUUAUAAAUAAAUGGAUGUAUGUGGUGACUUCA
This 1180-nucleotide long non-coding RNA is filed under the name Bos indicus x Bos taurus (hybrid cattle). RNAcentral describes it as "lncRNA (ENSBIXG00000002581.1)". Lineage: Eukaryota; Metazoa; Chordata; Mammalia; Artiodactyla; Bovidae. The record is from RNAcentral.